GGUGCCCCUUAUAUAAGGGAUGAAGAGGUGCCACACAAGACACCAAGGGACGCUAACUCUUAGUGUCCCAACUCCCUUACACGUUCCAAUUAAUUUUCAAUGUGGAAACCAAGGAGUCAAGGUAUGGAAUAAGAAGAGUUUCAUCUGUAGAAGGACUCCUCCUCUGCCAGAAAAAAUCUAAAUGCCAUAAUAUGGCCGGGGAAAUUAAGGAAGCAUGUGGAAUUAAAGAGUCCAAGACAAGGUGGACUCUUCCACAUUCAACGCACAAAAUA
This 272-nucleotide long non-coding RNA is filed under the name Elaeis guineensis (African oil palm). RNAcentral's name for it is "long non-coding RNA (EGUI_LNC045073)". Lineage: Eukaryota; Viridiplantae; Streptophyta; Magnoliopsida; Arecales; Arecaceae. The record is from RNAcentral.